AACAAACCAAAACAUUACCAGGUUCAUGAAAAGUCACAUAAUUUAAGCAAAGAUAAUGAAAUAACAGAAACCAUGUCUAGUUAAAGUACAAGGAAAUAUAAAGGGAACAGAAGGAACAACAAAAUCCAAACUAAGGAAAUAAAACAGAAGGAACAAGAUCCAAACUAACAUAGAGUAACAAGCUGCAUGGUGCCACGUCAGCAGACUACUCAA
This 213-nucleotide long non-coding RNA is filed under the name Trifolium pratense (red clover). Its description in RNAcentral is "long non-coding RNA (TPRA_LNC006013)". Lineage: Eukaryota; Viridiplantae; Streptophyta; Magnoliopsida; Fabales; Fabaceae. The record is from RNAcentral.